RNA transcript from Nymphaea colorata (pocket water lily), 1920 nucleotides. It is a transcript of the gene named protein TIFY 4B-like, with no coding region annotated. The transcript is spliced from 9 exons. The record is from RefSeq and is a predicted model, not a curated record. NCBI's taxonomy places the organism in Eukaryota, Viridiplantae, Streptophyta, Magnoliopsida, Nymphaeales, Nymphaeaceae.
AGCUCGCCCCCCGCGAGCGGGAAAACGGGAGCAGAGAAAGAGAGGGAGAGGAGGAAGAGGGGUGAGGGGAGAAGCGGGAAGACUGGAGAGGACGAAGAGGAGAAUCAGGGAGAGAGAGCAGUGAGAGAGGGGAAUUUGGAUUUCCAUUUUCUUGUUUUACAGAGCAAAGUAUAAGUGUGGGAAAAGAAGGGGAAUCCGGGGAGUCGGUCGGAGAAGGGCCGCGAUGAUGAAGGCGUCGGAUGGAAUAUACCGGUCGCCGCUCGACAAGCCCUUGAGGGAGCUGACGGAGGAGGACAUCUCUCAGGUCACCCGUGAAGAUUGCCGCAGAUACCUCAAGGAGAAAGGAAUGCGGCGGCCGUCCUGGAACAAGUCUCAGGCGAUUCAGCAGGUGCUCUCUCUCAAAUCCCUCUUCGAGACGUGGCCCGGGAAGCAGGAAUCCGGCAGCCGGAAAUCGCCGUCGAUCGCAUCCGGCGGACCAUGCCCUCCGGAUAGUGCCGGAGAAGGUGCAGCUAAUCUUUCUGAGGGUUCGCGUUCCGGCAGAGACGACAGACCACCCGUACAGACGGACUCGGAAUCGCCGGCGGUGGCGCCGGAAACGUCGACGCAGCAGGCGCCACUGUUUCCGUUGUUUUGCCCCAGAGUAGCUGAUCUACAAGGCGACAGAUCGGCCGAUGGCAUCGGAUUGUGGGAACCUGCCGGCGAUGUCCCUAGGUCCUCGACUAAGGAGAGCGCGACACAGAUGACCAUCUUCUAUGGUGGGAUGGUUAACGUCUACGACGACGUGUCGACAGAGAAGGCCCGAUUCGUCAUGCUGUUCGCGGACAGCCCCGACUGCAUGCCCCACGUGACGGCGAGCCCCCACACCUCCGCCUUCCCCGCCAGGCGAACCAGGCCGCCCUCGCCCCCUCCAACGACCCUUCCCCCGCCCUCCGCUUCCUCGCCCACCGAUGGUCCCAAGACGAGGAAGGAAUCGGUGCAGCGGUUCUUGGAGAAGCGGAAGGAGCGGGGACGGCUGAAGGUCGGGUGUGGCCGGCCGAAGUCGACGUCGGGACUGGAGUCCUAUCUGACUCAGCAAAUUCGGGAUUGCACUAGGAAUACGAGAUCCGGAACAGAAGAUACAUGCUCACCCACCAACCCGGUUCCGCCCUCAACGCCCAGCCGAAGCUGGUCCUUUAAGCCCGUACUCUCCGGCGACCUCAAUAACGACGACGAGUUUCAGGAGAUCGCGACGUAGGCAUGACACGUGUGUCCUCGGGUUCUUAAUAGCGCGGAUCCCCGCGGUUGGAACAGUAUGACGUCGCCUCAGGAGUGUACGGCUUCUUCCUCGGAGACCAUCUCUUAUCGGGUAGCGCGAAAGCGUUUCUGUUUUUCCUCCUGUUUUUUUGACUGAACUGGGGGCCCCAGCCCGCUGCAGAAAGGGGGUUGUCCGUUCCUGCUCGCCCUGGGAGUGAAGGGAUUCGGCUGUCCAGAAUGUGGAUCACGGACGCGGCCCCUCUUCCGUUUGUUUUCUAAGUUCCGACUUGUGACGCACAGCGUCUCCCAAUGCCCUGUAUUUACUUCGUUCCUCCUCACUGAUUUCCUUUUCAGUGAAGUUGUCUCCAGCAAUUGGGCCCGGCAACGGUGAAUGCGUCCUGCCCAGCUGACUUGUUUCUACAGGUCCAAACAUUGCUAACCUUCUCUAUCCCGAACCAAUUCUCUUGCGGAAAUGGAAGUGGCGAUUCCAGCCGGCUUUGUCUAACCGGGUUCUACAGUUGUCUAAUGUGACUGUCGUAGUGUUGUUAAGUUCCCGGCCCUGUUUGGAUCACAUAGAAAUAGCACAGGCCUGAAUGUCGGUACCUUAUUUCACGUAGAAAUAGGGGCACAGACCUAAAUAGCAGGCCUUGGUUCAAGUGGAUGAAGAACACGAACAUAGUGCGUUUC